This 805-nucleotide ribosomal RNA is filed under the name uncultured organism. Its description in RNAcentral is "bacterial SSU rRNA". It matches the Rfam family "Bacterial small subunit ribosomal RNA", at positions 505 to 1325 of the family's 1533-position model. The record is from RNAcentral.
GUGCCAGCAGCCGCGGUAAGACGUAGGACGCGAGCGUUAUCCGGAUUUACUGGGCGUAAAGCGUGUGUAGGCGGCGUGACAAGUUGGGCGUGAAAGCCCCGUGCUCAACGCGGGGAGGCCGCACAAUACUGUCAGGCUAGAGGGCAUCAGAGGGGUGUGGAAUUCCCGGAGUAGCGGUAAAAUGCGCAGAUAUCGGGAGGAACACCGGUGGCGAAAGCGGCACCCUGGGGUGCACCUGACGCUGAGAGACGACAGCUAGGGGAGCGAACAGGAUUAGAGACCCUGGUAGUCCUAGCCGUAAACGAUGGAUGCUAGGUGUGGGAGUGAAGAACUUCUGUGCCGCAGCGAACGCGAUAAGCAUCCCGCCUGGGGAGUACGGCCGCAAGGUUAAAACUCAAACGAAUUGACGGGGACCCGCACAAGCAGCGGAGCGUGUGGUUUAAUUCGAUGCUACACGAAGAACCUUACCUGGGAUUGACAUAUGGGUGGUAGUGAGCCGAAAGGCAAGCGACCCUUCGGGGAGCCUAUACAGGUGCUGCAUGGCUGUCGUCAGCUCGUGCCGUGAGGUGUCGGGUUAAGUCCCGUAACGAGCGCAACCCCUGUCCUUAGUUACAAGUGUCUAAGGGGACUGCCGGCGGGAAGCCGGAGGAAGGUGGGGAUGACGUCAAGUCAGCAUGGCCCUUAUAUCCAGGGCGACACACACGCUACAAUGGUCGGUACAGAGGGCAGCGAAGCCGCGAGGUGGAGCGAAACCCAGAAAGCCGGUCGUAGUUCGGAUUGCAGGCUGCAACUCGCCUGCAUGAAG